This 406-nucleotide ribosomal RNA is filed under the name uncultured bacterium. RNAcentral's name for it is "partial 16S ribosomal RNA". It matches the Rfam family "Bacterial small subunit ribosomal RNA", at positions 30 to 526 of the family's 1533-position model. The record is from RNAcentral.
AUUGAACGCUGGCGGCAGGCCUAACACAUGCACGUCGAGCGGGCGGCGGACGGGUAAGGACUAUAUGGGGAUCUGCUCGAGGGAGGGGGAGAACGACUGGGAGCGGUAGCUCAUACCGCAUACAAUCGCAUGAACCCCUAUUGGAUUAGCUAGUAGGUGAGGUACUGGCUCACCUAGGCGACGAUCCCUAGCUGGUCUGAGAGGAUGAUCAGUCACACUGGGACUGAGACACGGCCCAGACUCCUAAGGGAGGCAGCAGUGGGGAAUAUUGCACAAUGGGCGCAAGCCUGAUGCAGCCAUGCCGCGUGUAUGAAGAAGGCCCUCGGGUUGUAAAGUACUUUAAGUCGGGAGGCGUUACCGACAGAAGAAGCACCGGCUAACUCCGUGCCAGCAGCCGCGGUAAUAC